This 380-nucleotide ribosomal RNA is filed under the name uncultured eukaryote. RNAcentral describes it as "partial 18S ribosomal RNA". It matches the Rfam family "Eukaryotic small subunit ribosomal RNA", at positions 592 to 976 of the family's 1831-position model. The record is from RNAcentral.
CAAUAGCGUAUAUUAGAGUUGUUGCGGUUAAAAAGCUCGUAGUUGGAGUUCUGCCAGGUGCCGCCUGUCCGCCCCAGUGGUGAGUACGUGGCGCGCAUUUGGCCCUUUCAAGGGGAGCGUAUCUGCACUUUAUUGUGUGGUGCGGGAUCCUUGACUUUUACUUUGAGGAAAUAGGAGUGUUCCAAGCAGGCUCUCGUCGUGCACAGCUCAGCAUGGAAUAAUAGCAUUGGACCUCGAUUCUAAGCUGUUGGUUGCCAGAAGCGAGGUAAUGAUGAAGAGGGAUAGUUGGGGGCAUUCGUAUUUAACUGUCAGAGGUGAAAUUCUUGGAUUUGUUCAAGACGGACUACUGCGAAAGCAUCUGCCAUGGAUGUUUUCAUUGA